Molecule: ribosomal RNA, 340 nt
Filed under: uncultured Anaerolineaceae bacterium
Lineage: Bacteria; Bacillati; Chloroflexota; Anaerolineae; Anaerolineales; Anaerolineaceae
Description: bacterial SSU rRNA
Rfam family: Bacterial small subunit ribosomal RNA
Source: RNAcentral
UUGUACAGGUGCUGCAUGGCUGUCGUCAGCUCGUGUCGUGAGAUGUUCGGUUAAGUCCGCUAACGAGCGCAACCCUCGCUGUGUGUUACAAGUGUCACACGGAACUGCCGGUCAUAAACCGGAGGAAGGUGGGGAUGACGUCAAGUCAGCAUGGCCUUUAUAUCCUGGGCUACACACACGCUACAAUGGGAAGGGACAAUAGGUUGCGAAGCCGCGAGGCGGAGCCAAUCCAGCAAAACUUCCCUCAGUUCAGAUUGCAGGCUGCAACUCGCCUGCAUGAAGUUGGAGUUGCUAGUAAACGCAGGUCAGCUAUACUGCGGUGAAUACGUUCCCGGGGCUU